This 404-nucleotide ribosomal RNA is filed under the name uncultured bacterium. RNAcentral describes it as "bacterial SSU rRNA". It matches the Rfam family "Bacterial small subunit ribosomal RNA", at positions 355 to 774 of the family's 1533-position model. The record is from RNAcentral.
UGGGGAAUUUUCCGCAAUGGGCGAAAGCCUGACGGAGCAACGCCGCGUGGGGGAAGAAGGUUCUUGGAUUGUAAACCCCUUUUCUCAGGGAAGAAGAUCUGACGGUACCUGAGGAAUCAGCCUCGGCUAACUCCGUGCCAGCAGCCGCGGUAAUACGGAGGAGGCAAGCGUUAUCCGGAAUUAUUGGGCGUAAAGCGUUCGUAGGCGGUCGUUCAAGUCUGCUGUCAAAGACCGAGGCUCAACCUCGGGUCGGCAGUGGAAACUGGAUGACUAGAGAUCGGUAGGGGCAGAGGGAAUUCCCAGUGUAGCGGUGAAAUGCGUAGAUAUUGGGAAGAACACCGGUGGCGAAAGCGCUCUGCUAGACCGAAUCUGACGCUGAGGGACGAAAGCUAGGGGAGCGAAUG